Molecule: ribosomal RNA, 253 nt
Filed under: uncultured bacterium
Lineage: Bacteria
Description: partial 16S ribosomal RNA
Rfam family: Bacterial small subunit ribosomal RNA
Source: RNAcentral
UACAGAGGUCUCAAGCGUUGUUCGGAUUCAUUGGGCGUAAAGGGUGCGUAGGCGGCGCGGUAAGUCGGGUGUGAAAUCUCGGAGCUUAACUCCGAAACUGCAUUCGAUACUGCCGUGCUUGAGGACUGGAGAGGAGACUGGAAUUUACGGUGUAGCGGUGAAAUGCGUAGAUAUCGUAAGGAAGACCAGUGGCGAAGGCGGGUCUCUGGACAGUUCCUGAGGCUGAGGCACGAAGGCCAGGGGAGCAAACGGG